CACGUAGGGGGCGAGCGUUGUUCGGAAUCAUUGGGCGUAAAGGGUGCGCAGGCGGCCGUCCAAGUCUGGUGUGAAAUACCCCGGCCCAACCGGGGGGACGCGCUGUAAACUGGAUGGCUUGAGUACAGGAGGGGGAGUCGGAAUUCCAGGUGUAGCGGUGAAAUGCGUAGAUAUCGGGAUGAACACCGGUGGCGAAGGCGGCUUUCUGGCCAGUUACUGACGCUCAUGCGCGAAAGCUGGGGUAGCGAACCGGAUUAGAUACCCCCGUAGUCCCUGAGCGGGCUGG
This 286-nucleotide ribosomal RNA is filed under the name uncultured prokaryote. RNAcentral describes it as "partial 16S ribosomal RNA". It matches the Rfam family "Bacterial small subunit ribosomal RNA", at positions 524 to 819 of the family's 1533-position model. The record is from RNAcentral.